RNAcentral lists this unclassified non-coding RNA (314 nucleotides) under uncultured Tomentella. Its description in RNAcentral is "sequence contains ITS2". The record is from RNAcentral. Lineage: Eukaryota; Fungi; Basidiomycota; Agaricomycetes; Thelephorales; Thelephoraceae.
AACGCACCUUGCGCCCUUUGGCUAUUCCGAAGGGCAUGCCUGUUUGAGUAUCAUGAACACCUCAACUCUCAUGGCUUGCCAUGAUGAGCUUGGACUUUGGGGGUUUUGUUGGCCUGUGAGCCAGCUCCUCUUAAAUGAAUUAGCUUGCCGGUGUUUGGUGGCGUCACGGGUGUGAUAACUAUCUACGCUUGUGGUUUCCCACCAGGUAACCUUCAGCAAUGGAGGUUCGCCGGAGCUUAUAAAUGUCUCUCCUCGGUGAGGACACGUUUUGACCAUUUGAUCUCAAAUCAGGUAGGACUACCCGCUGAACUUAA